Molecule: long non-coding RNA, 6849 nt
Filed under: Lactuca sativa (garden lettuce)
Lineage: Eukaryota; Viridiplantae; Streptophyta; Magnoliopsida; Asterales; Asteraceae
Description: long non-coding RNA (LSAT_LNC003620)
Source: RNAcentral
UCGGAUUUGGAUACCUAAGACAGGAGGAGUCAGAGAUCUUCUGAUGGAAGAAGCUCACAAAACCAUGUACUCGAUUCAUCCGGGUAGCACUAAAAUGUAUAGGGACCUGAAACCCUACUACUGGUGGCCGACGAUGAAGCUUGAUGUUGCAAAGUAUGUGGCCGAGUGUGUGACUUGUGCGAGAGUCAAGACACAACAUCAGAAAUCAUACGGAAGUUUAGAACCCUUACCUGUGCCCAUGGGUAAAUGGGAAGACAUUGCUAUGGAUUUUGUCACUAAACUACCAAGAACAAAAAGUGGUCACGGCAUGAUUUUGGUGGUCGUUGAUCGAUUCACUAAGAGUGCGCAUUUCAUAGCAGCCAAGGAGAAAUGGUCUAUGAAUAAGUGUGCGAAUUCUUACGUGAAUGAAAUUGUGAGGCUUCACGGUGUUCCGGUAACGAUUGUUUCAGAUCGUGACACCCGUUUCACCUCAUGAUUUUGGAAAAGUCUACAAAAGGAAUUGGGUACCAAGUUGUGUUUAAGUAUAGCUUACCAUCCACAGACUGAUGGUCAGAGCGAACGAACGAUACAAACACUUGAAGAUAUGGUGAGAGCAUGUACCCUAGAACUCCAAGGUAAUUGGGAUGAACAUUUACCUUUGGUAGAAUUUUCGUACAAUAAAAGUCCCCUCGAGCAUUAAGAUGGCACCUUAUCAAGCUUUGUACGGACAGAAGUGUCGUAUGCCGUCUUGUUGGCUUGAGGCUGGGGAAAAGCAGUUUAUGGGACCAGAGAUAGUCCAUCAAACUACUGAAAAUUUGAAAAUAAUUAGGGGGAAAAUGUUAGCAGCUCAGGAUCGUCAAAAGAGCUAUGCUGAAAACAAGUGAAGAUCGAUGACUUUUGAAGUUGGAAAUUCGGUUUUGCUUAAAGUCUCUCCAUGGAAGGGACUUAUAAGAUUUUGUAAAAGGGGAAAAUUAAGUCCACGGUUUAUUGGAACGUUUAUAGUGCUUCAGAGGAUUGGGAACCAAACUUACAAGCUCGAACUACUAGAAGAACUGAAUGGAAUUCAUAACACUUUCCAUGUGUGUUAUUUGAGGAAAUUUACGGGAGAAGUUUCCGACAUGAUUCCACUUUCGGAGUUGAGAAUAGAUGAGAACAAAAGGUUGAUUGAAGAACCAGAGGAAAUUGUUAACCGAAAGACUAAGAAGUUGUGACGCAAGAUGGUCGAGUUAGUGCUUGUCCGAUAGAAACACACGAAUGGGCCAAAUCUCACCUGGGAGACGGAGAGUGACAUGAUGAGUCGCUACCCGCAUUUGUUUCUUGAUGUGUGAUACCGGGGACGGAAUCAUUCUAAGGUGGAGAGAAUUGUAACGCCUUUGUUUCUGGGCUUAUCAUUAAUGUUGAUAUAAUAGUCUAGGUUAACCUAUGUAACCCGUUUUGAAAUAAUAGAAGUGUAUUACUUGAGUAUUAUGUGUUUUGUGCUUAAUUAUGUGUCUUAAUUUAAUUAAGAAUAAAAAUAAGCGUCAAAAUGAAAUAUUAGAUAAAGUCGAUAUCUAUGGAUAAUGUUGUAGUAGUUGAAACGAGGUUUCUGAAUAUAUAAAGAAUGCCAAAAUCCGAGUUAUAACGAAGAAGUUAUGACCUGUCGAAGUUUCGCGACAGAACUGACACGACGUGGUAAAAGUGCCACGACGUGGCAGGAGCUCUGGAGUCUGUCAGACCCACUUGCAAUGACGCAAGCAGUGAAGACCCAGCCACCACAAUGUGGUAAACCGUACCACGACGUGGCAAAGGCAAAAUUUUCCCAAUAAAUAGAUUUGAAGGGCCAGCUGAGUUUGGUUGCUCAAAUUCUUUCCCUCCACUCAUAUUACCUCGAUUAACAUGCAAAGAAGUACCCCCGAAGCCCCGAUAUCAUCCCGAGACCCGAAGCAAGUCUCGAAGCUUGAAGAUCCUGUGAAUAAAAGAGUUUCCGAGCCGAAGCUCUGCCCGUAAGAAGCCCGGUGAAUUAAGUGAACCCAGUUUCACCGAAGAAUACUACUCUUAGAGCCAUAGUGCUGUCCGAUCAUCUUCUGAUCAAGUGAGUGUGUAGUUACCUUCUUCUAACGCAUAAUUAUGAAGUAUUUUUUACAAAAUAUGUGUUAUGUGUAUUUUUUUUGUUAUAUGUGUGCAUGUAUAUUCACUUUCUUCUAUCUCAUUGAUAUGAUUUAUUCUCUAUGAAAUACGUGCUAUGUGUAUGUGUCUCAUCUGUUGAUUGGAAUAUCUAUUGAAUGAGAAUGCUCUACAGGUUUUAAACUAUGUAUAAAAAUAUAUAUUCUUAUCUACUAAUAUGUUGGGUAGAACAUGGGUAGAUAGUUGAUGUGUGAUAAACCGAUGAGAGGCCUGGAUGUUGUUGUUGUUGAUCUAGUUAUUCAACGGAGUAUGGAUAACGACCACAUACUCUUUCUAGACAGUCCUGUGGAACGCUAGCAGGCUCAUAACCUGUAGGUUUUGCGAACAAUGUGUUCACUGGUGUACUUUAUCCCCCUCAUGGUUGCCUUUAAGACAUCUACUGUUGAGGAAACCCCUUUGCAGUAAUGUUCGUCCCGAUGAAAAUCCUAGAUUAGGUCCCUUGAGAUAGAUGUUGUUUUAGGGACAUAAAGUGAGGAUAACGGGAAUGAGUAAUCGGGUUAUUGUUGGUUGGUGAAAUUAAAUAUAAUUAUUUAUUAUGGGUUGAAAACCCUAUAUGCUCACCAGGCUCCCAAGCCUCACCCACUCAGUUUUGUUGUAUUACAGGUAGUGGCGCGAGAGCAUAAGUUGGAUGACAUAUCAAGAUCUUUUGAUAUUAGACUAGUUGUUAUAUGUAACUAUUGUAUGGUCUAUCUUUUGUUGUUUAUGCUUUUGGUCUGUUUAUCGGAACUUGAAAUCCCGAAUAUUGUUAUAUAAUGAAAAUGCAUCUCUUGAUGAAAUGCUUUGAUAAAUUUUAUUUAUCAUAUUUUGUUUUGGGAACAAAUUCCGCAACGCUUUUAAUCAAAGGAUUACUCUGAAAUUGUUUUAAAAGCAUUAAUUAAACCGGUCUUUUUUGGCCGUGAUUUUGGGGAUGUCAUAGUUUGUAUCAAAGCAUUAGUUUAAGCGAACUAGGAAUUUGUAGGAAUUCUAGACUUAAACUUAGAAUGCAAAGUGAAGAUUGUGAGAUGAGUGUCUGUUAUAAUUAAGACACGAGCACUAGUAUAUUUUAGGAAGAUGCCUAAAAUGCUUUUAUGUGCUAAAUGUUAUAUGCUGCCAUAGAUGAUAUUAUUUGUUCGGAUCUAUGGUCUGUUGCCGACCGGAUCUUGAAACGUUAUAUGUGUAGGAUUCUAAGCGUAUGACGACGGUAUUAGAACUAGCAUGGAAACGUUUCAGAGUGAUAAGGAUGAUUUAAUUAUCUAUCAUGGAUGAGGAUCUAAUUUCACCUUAUUCGAUGUGUAGAUCAAAAAUGGUAAGAACCAGAAGUGGCGUUGGAAACGUAGAUGAAAACAGUAAUCAACCACCAGUGAUUGAGCAAAUACCUGUUGUAGCAGCAGCACCAGAACCGAUAACAAUGGUUGGGGUGCAAGCCAUGGUUCGGGCUAUGUUAUCCGAACAAAGGGAAGAAAUGCGACAGAUGUUACUUAAAAAUAGGGACGAACCAAUGAUACCUAUUGAGGAACGCCAACUGAUUCCCGAACAAUCGGAGGAAGGAAACAAUAGUUGCAUUAUGAGUCAAGUUGGGACUCAAGGAGAAUGAAGGAACGACUCGGAAAGGAGAAACAACAAGGAUGGGUGAAUGUACAAGAAUUUCUUGGGUGAGAAGCCGCCAAGUCUUUCUGGGAGCCCAAAGCCUGUUGAGAUUAUGGAUUGGAUCUCCGAAAUGGAGAUGGUAUUUGAAAGUUGUGACUAUAGGAACAAACAGAAGACUGUUUUUGCAUUUAGACAACUGAAGACUGGAGUCUUGAGUUGGUAGGAGUUGUUGGCAGAUACUAUGCCACGAGGAGAAGCCCUGAAAAUGUCAUGGGAGGAGUUCUUGGAACAACUAAGGGUGUAGUACUGUUCAGAGAUAGAUCUGAUUGAUCUAAACAAUGAUUUCCAAAACUUGAAGAAGGGGAGAAUGAGCGUAGACGACUAUGCUACUGCAUUCACUAAGAAAAUGAAGUUAUUUCCCUACCUGGUGCCAACGGAACUCUCUAAGAUUGAGAGGUUCGCUAAUAGACUACCUGCCGACUUUGGCCCGACAGUCAAGAUGGCAACCACUUUGAAAACAGUUGUUCGAGCAGCUAAGAAUGUGGAGGCCCAGCAGAAGGAAAUGGGUCUAGAAAGGAUAGACGUUGGUGAGAAAAGGAAGUUCGAUGGACCUUCAGGGUCCAACAAGAAAAGUAAAUUCUCAAAGUCUAGUUCGAGAGGAGGAGGAGGCGAAGCGAAAUGGUGUGACAAAUGUAAGAAGAAGCAUCACGGAAAAUGUGACGUAUUGGCCACAUGCUUCAAAUGUGGAAAGUCAGGGCACUAUACCAACGAAUGCACUCUCACCAAGAAAUUUUAAUAUGGUUGUGGUGAGGAGGGACACAUGUCUAGGGACUGCCCUAAAAAGAAGGAGGCAGCAAGACCCAACAUUCCGUCAAAUCCAAAGGCGAGAGCCUUCCAGAUGACACUGGAAGCUGCUAAAGAUGAAGCUGAUGUCGCUUCAGGUACCUUUCUUGUUAACAAAUUGCCUUGCCAAAUUUUAUUUGAUUUUGGAGCCAACUACGCCUUUAUUUCGCAUGAAUUUGGUAGAAAAAUAGCUUUGCCUGUCGAUAGACUAGAUAAUGCUUUAUUAGUCGAAGUUGCUAGUGGCAAGUUUGUACCUGUUAGCCAUCGUAUGAAAAACAUCUUAAUUGAUUUGAAUGAGAAUAUGUUUCACGAGGAAUUAUUGCCUAUCGAACUUAACAGUUUCGACACCGUGCUUGGAAUGGAUUCGCUUAGCGCCAAUGACGCCGAGAUAUUGUGCAAGAAGAAGAUAGUCAAAGUAAACCCGCCUAGGAAAGAGUCGUUUAUGGUGUAUGGAGAUAAACGCAUAGUAAAUUCUGGAAUCAUUUCAUUGAUGAAAGCCAGAAAGUGUUUGGCCAAAGGAUGUACAUCGUAUCUAGCAUUCGUGAUCGAUGCUAAGAAGGAGAAAAAGGAGAUGCAGAGCAUUCCUAUCGUGUGUGAUUAUCCGGAAGUAUUUCCCGAAGAUCUUCCCGGAUUAUCGCUUGAUAGACAAGUGGAGUUUAGAAUAGACUUGUUACCCAGGACGACGCCAAUAGCAAAAGCACCUUAUCGAUUAGCACCAACGGAGAUGAAGGAGCUAAUGAUGCAACUUCAGGAGUUAUUGGACAAAGGUUUCAUUAGACCUAGUUCAUCGCCCUGGGGAGCUCCGGUGUUAUUCGUGAAGAAGAAAGAUGGAAGUAUGAGAAUGUGCAUCGAUUACAGAGAGCUGAACAAGGCAACAAUAAAGAAUAGAUAUUUGUUGCCGAGGAUUGAUGACCUGUUCGAUCAACUACAAGGUUCGGGCAAUUUAUCGAAGAUCGAUCUUAGGUCAGGUUAUCAUCAGCUGAAAGUAAGAGAGCAGGAUAUAGAGAAGACUGCAUUAAGAACACGAUAUGGACACUAUGGGUUUUUGGUUAUGUCGUUUGGACUAACCAAUGCUCCUGCAGCAUUCAGGGAUUUAAUAAACAGGCUUUGCAAUCCGUUCCUUGAUAAAUCUGUGACAGUCUUCAUAGAUGGCAUUCUGAUUUAUUCAAAAAGCCAAGAGGAGCAUGGCAGACACUUGCGAGAAGUGUUAGAAGUCUUGAAGAAGGAGAAGUUGUAUGCAAAGUUCUCUAAAUGUGAUUUUUGGAUUCGAGAAGUCCAAUUAUUGGGUCACGUGGUGAACCAAGAAGGGAUAAUGGUUGAUCCAGCAAAGAUUGAAGCUGUAAUGAAGUGGGAACAACCGAAAAGUCCCACGGAGAUUCGAAGCUUUUUAGGAUUAGCCGGAUAUUACCGAAGGUUUAUCCAAGGCUUUUCUUCGAUUGCUACUCCAUUAACAGCUUUGACCCACAAAGGAGCUGCUUAUGCUUGGAGUGAUAAGCAUAGAGAAGCAUUCGGGUUGCUAAAGAAGAAGCUAUGUGAGGCACUGAUUUUAUCUCUACCCGAUGGGGUUGAAGACUUCGCUAUUUAUAGCAAUGCGUCUGGGGUUGGAUUGGGUUGUCUUUUGACCCAAAGAGAUAAGGUGAUCGCGUAUGCAUAUCGACAACUGAAAGAGCAUGAAAGGAACUACCCCACUCAUGACUUGGAGUUGGCGGCGGUAGUUUUCACUCUAAAGAUAUGGAGGCAUUACCUCUAUGGCACGAAGUGCAAUCUUUUCACUGAUCAUAAGAGUCUCCAAUACCUCUUUAAUCAGAAAGAAUUGAAUAUGAGGCAACGACGCUGGCUAGAAUUACUUAAAGACUAUGACUGCGAGAUACUUUACCACCCCGGUAAAGCUAAUGUUGUUGCUGAUGCUCUCAGUCGGAAAGUCAAUCCCGAAAGGAAAAGGCCAAGAGCGUUGAGAAUUGAAGUUGUCUCAACUAUUUUGGAAAGUAUAAAGAAAGCUCAGAGCGAAGCUUCUGAGAAGAAUGACAGAAAGGAGGAACGUUUGGGCAAAACGUUGGUGUUCGGUGUAAACAGUCAUGGACUGAAGGUGUUCCAAGAUCGGAUUUGGAUACCUAAGACAGGAGGAGUCAGAGAUCUUCUGAUGGAAGAAGCUCACAAGACCAUGUACUCGAUUCAUCCGGGUAGCACUAAAAUGUAUAGGGACCUGAAACCCUACUACUGGUGGCCGACGAUGAAGCUUGAUGUUGCAAAGUAUGUGGCCGAGUGUGUGACUUGUGCGAGAGUCAAGACACAACAUCA